UGGGGAAUAUUGCACAAUGGACGGAAGUCUGAUGCAGCAACGCCGCGUGCGGGAUGACGGCCUUCGGGUUGUAAACCGCUUUUUUUCAUGACGAAGUUUUUUGACGGUAGUGGGGGAAGAAGCACCGGCUAACUACGUGCCAGCAGCCGCGGUGAUACGUAGGGUGCGAGCGUUGUCCGGAAUUAUUGGGCGUAAAGAGCUUGUAGGCGGUUUGUCGUGUCGAUCGUGCAAACUCAGUGCUUAACGCUGAGCCUGCUGUAGAUACGGGCAGACUAGAGGAAGGUAGGGGAGAAUGGAAUUCCCGGUGGAGCGGUGGAAUGCGCAGAUAUCGGGAGGAACACCGGUGGCGAAGGCGGUUCUCUGAGCCUUUCCUGACGCUGAAACGCGAAAGCGUGGGGAGCGAACAGG
Molecule: ribosomal RNA, 408 nt
Filed under: Fusobacteriota bacterium
Lineage: Bacteria; Fusobacteriati; Fusobacteriota
Description: Fusobacteria bacterium partial 16S ribosomal RNA
Rfam family: Bacterial small subunit ribosomal RNA
Source: RNAcentral